Molecule: long non-coding RNA, 1186 nt
Organism: Dermacentor silvarum
Lineage: Eukaryota; Metazoa; Arthropoda; Arachnida; Ixodida; Ixodidae
Exons: 4
Source: RefSeq, a predicted model, not a curated record
GUCACGUCAUCAUCGUCACAGGCAUCCAGGCCGACUUCAACGCAGGGUCCAAGCUCUGCCCCUGCAGAAGACGACGAGGCAGGCACCCCAGCUAGUGUUCCUACGUCCACAACUGCCCCCACGCAAACAGGAAAUAACGCUUCAAUUACAUUUUCAACUAUCAUAAGCACAUCUACGUCGCCUAGUCCUUCAUCCGUUAGUGGUGACACCACAUCGAUACAGCCGACAGAUAUGGACCCACCAUUUACGGUGACGCGCUCUCGAACAACAGAAGUCAGUGGUGACGCAUCGAACACGACCACAACUGAAAGGCUUUUUACUACGCAGAUGACCAUUUUCACAAGCCUGACGAUUGCAGACGUGAAUGCUACAUCUGAUGCUACGACGCAGACUGGAACGGCCGUCACGCAAGCCAGCACAUCAAGCAUCCCUGCUUCUGUAACGACAGUUUCUCCACACUACAUGACAACGACAGGUGAAACAACCCUGCCUCAAAAUAGCAAUACACCAAUAAGGCUGACUACAAUUUUCACGACGUCAAAUGUCCCCACUGGUUUCACAGUCAGCGUUCCUUCCGGCAGCAGCAGCAUUACUGGGACGUCUCCGAGUGACGGCCAAACUAUCAGUCGUACGACACCGGCGAGCAAUUCAAGCCCUGACGCCACUUCAGGGGGAACAAGCUUCUGGCCGUCGUUGCCCUCUCCCUCAAAUACAUUUAAUCCCGAAACUUCUAGCACUGUUUCCGACCAAAGUUCAGCCAACAACUCGACACCUGUUACGACGUCGACUGCUCGUAGUACCACCAUGGCGUCUGUUAUGACAUUAUCAUCCGCGACAUCCACAGCAAGUCUUUCCACGAGUGCCUCGACGUUACAAAGUAGCAACGAAACGUCGGUAACCCACGUCUAUUCUCUCAACGGCAGUGACAUCUGUCAGCCCGACUACAGGCUCAUCGGCAUCAUGUGUCAACAUUACGCUGCCAAACAUCUUCGGUCUCGACACGUGCCUUGGACGCACUCUUGACGCUUGCACUACUGACAACGUGAGUUGCGGAUGUCUACGAGAUCGCUGGAAGCGUGGUUACGUGCACAAUCCGGGUACUCAGCACAUCCUUGAGCCUGCAAUGUGUACUUGCUGCAGUUAAGGACAUCAUCGUGGCAGCGUUCACCAGAUUUAGUUCAGAAGG